RNAcentral lists this non-coding RNA (29 nucleotides) under Rattus norvegicus (Norway rat). The record is from RNAcentral. Lineage: Eukaryota; Metazoa; Chordata; Mammalia; Rodentia; Muridae.
UGGAAAUCUGCAUUUAAUGGAGCCCCCAC